Molecule: ribosomal RNA, 2902 nt
Filed under: Escherichia coli
Lineage: Bacteria; Pseudomonadati; Pseudomonadota; Gammaproteobacteria; Enterobacterales; Enterobacteriaceae
Description: bacterial LSU rRNA
Rfam family: Bacterial large subunit ribosomal RNA
Source: RNAcentral
UUAAGCGACUAAGCGUACACGGUGGAUGCCCUGGCAGUCAGAGGCGAUGAAGGACGUGCUAAUCUGCGAUAAGCGUCGGUAAGGUGAUAUGAACCGUUAUAACCGGCGAUUUCCGAAUGGGGAAACCCAGUGUGUUUCGACACACUAUCAUUAACUGAAUCCAUAGGUUAAUGAGGCGAACCGGGGGAACUGAAACAUCUAAGUACCCCGAGGAAAAGAAAUCAACCGAGAUUCCCCCAGUAGCGGCGAGCGAACGGGGAGCAGCCCAGAGCCUGAAUCAGUGUGUGUGUUAGUGGAAGCGUCUGGAAAGGCGCGCGAUACAGGGUGACAGCCCCGUACACAAAAAUGCACAUGCUGUGAGCUCGAUGAGUAGGGCGGGACACGUGGUAUCCUGUCUGAAUAUGGGGGGACCAUCCUCCAAGGCUAAAUACUCCUGACUGACCGAUAGUGAACCAGUACCGUGAGGGAAAGGCGAAAAGAACCCCGGCGAGGGGAGUGAAAAAGAACCUGAAACCGUGUACGUACAAGCAGUGGGAGCACGCUUCGGCGUGUGACUGCGUACCUUUUGUAUAAUGGGUCAGCGACUUAUAUUCUGUAGCAAGGUUAACCGAAUAGGGGAGCCGAAGGGAAACCGAGUCUUAACUGGGCGUUAAGUUGCAGGGUAUAGACCCGAAACCCGGUGAUCUAGCCAUGGGCAGGUUGAAGGUUGGGUAACACUAACUGGAGGACCGAACCGACUAAUGUUGAAAAAUUAGCGGAUGACUUGUGGCUGGGGGUGAAAGGCCAAUCAAACCGGGAGAUAGCUGGUUCUCCCCGAAAGCUAUUUAGGUAGCGCCUCGUGAAUUCAUCUCCGGGGGUAGAGCACUGUUUCGGCAAGGGGGUCAUCCCGACUUACCAACCCGAUGCAAACUGCGAAUACCGGAGAAUGUUAUCACGGGAGACACACGGCGGGUGCUAACGUCCGUCGUGAAGAGGGAAACAACCCAGACCGCCAGCUAAGGUCCCAAAGUCAUGGUUAAGUGGGAAACGAUGUGGGAAGGCCCAGACAGCCAGGAUGUUGGCUUAGAAGCAGCCAUCAUUUAAAGAAAGCGUAAUAGCUCACUGGUCGAGUCGGCCUGCGCGGAAGAUGUAACGGGGCUAAACCAUGCACCGAAGCUGCGGCAGCGACGCUGAUGCGUUGUUGGGUAGGGGAGCGUUCUGUAAGCCUGCGAAGGUGUGCUGUGAGGCAUGCUGGAGGUAUCAGAAGUGCGAAUGCUGACAUAAGUAACGAUAAAGCGGGUGAAAAGCCCGCUCGCCGGAAGACCAAGGGUUCCUGUCCAACGUUAAUCGGGGCAGGGUGAGUCGACCCCUAAGGCGAGGCCGAAAGGCGUAGUCGAUGGGAAACAGGUUAAUAUUCCUGUACUUGGUGUUACUGCGAAGGGGGGACGGAGAAGGCUAUGUUGGCCGGGCGACGGUUGUCCCGGUUUAAGCGUGUAGGCUGGUUUUCCAGGCAAAUCCGGAAAAUCAAGGCUGAGGCGUGAUGACGAGGCACUACGGUGCUGAAGCAACAAAUGCCCUGCUUCCAGGAAAAGCCUCUAAGCAUCAGGUAACAUCAAAUCGUACCCCAAACCGACACAGGUGGUCAGGUAGAGAAUACCAAGGCGCUUGAGAGAACUCGGGUGAAGGAACUAGGCAAAAUGGUGCCGUAACUUCGGGAGAAGGCACGCUGAUAUGUAGGUGAAGUCCCUUGCGGAUGGAGCUGAAAUCAGUCGAAGAUACCAGCUGGCUGCAACUGUUUAUUAAAAACACAGCACUGUGCAAACACGAAAGUGGACGUAUACGGUGUGACGCCUGCCCGGUGCCGGAAGGUUAAUUGAUGGGGUCAGCGCAAGCGAAGCUCUUGAUCGAAGCCCCGGUAAACGGCGGCCGUAACUAUAACGGUCCUAAGGUAGCGAAAUUCCUUGUCGGGUAAGUUCCGACCUGCACGAAUGGCGUAAUGAUGGCCAGGCUGUCUCCACCCGAGACUCAGUGAAAUUGAACUCGCUGUGAAGAUGCAGUGUACCCGCGGCAAGACGGAAAGACCCCGUGAACCUUUACUAUAGCUUGACACUGAACAUUGAGCCUUGAUGUGUAGGAUAGGUGGGAGGCUUUGAAGUGUGGACGCCAGUCUGCAUGGAGCCGACCUUGAAAUACCACCCUUUAAUGUUUGAUGUUCUAACGUUGACCCGUAAUCCGGGUUGCGGACAGUGUCUGGUGGGUAGUUUGACUGGGGCGGUCUCCUCCUAAAGAGUAACGGAGGAGCACGAAGGUUGGCUAAUCCUGGUCGGACAUCAGGAGGUUAGUGCAAUGGCAUAAGCCAGCUUGACUGCGAGCGUGACGGCGCGAGCAGGUGCGAAAGCAGGUCAUAGUGAUCCGGUGGUUCUGAAUGGAAGGGCCAUCGCUCAACGGAUAAAAGGUACUCCGGGGAUAACAGGCUGAUACCGCCCAAGAGUUCAUAUCGACGGCGGUGUUUGGCACCUCGAUGUCGGCUCAUCACAUCCUGGGGCUGAAGUAGGUCCCAAGGGUAUGGCUGUUCGCCAUUUAAAGUGGUACGCGAGCUGGGUUUAGAACGUCGUGAGACAGUUCGGUCCCUAUCUGCCGUGGGCGCUGGAGAACUGAGGGGGGCUGCUCCUAGUACGAGAGGACCGGAGUGGACGCAUCACUGGUGUUCGGGUUGUCAUGCCAAUGGCACUGCCCGGUAGCUAAAUGCGGAAGAGAUAAGUGCUGAAAGCAUCUAAGCACGAAACUUGCCCCGAGAUGAGUUCUCCCUGACUCCUUGAGAGUCCUGAAGGAACGUUGAAGACGACGACGUUGAUAGGCCGGGUGUGUAAGCGCAGCGAUGCGUUGAGCUAACCGGUACUAAUGAACCGUGAGGCUUAACCUU